CCUACGGGCGGCAGCAGUAGGGAAUCUUCCACAAUGAGCGAAAGCUUGAUGGAGCGACACAGCGUGCAUGAAGAAGGUUUUCGGCUCGUAAAGUGCUGUUGUAAGGGAAGAAAGAUAGAGGUAGGAACUGACUUUUAUUUGACGGUACUUACUUAGAAAGUCACGGCUAACUACGUGCCAGCAGCCGCGGUAAUACGUAGGUGGCAAGCGUUAUCCGGAUUUAUUGGGCGUAAAGCGAGUGCAGGCGGUUCAAUAAGUCUGAUGUGAAAGCCUUGGGCUUAACCGGAGAAUUGCAUCAGAAACUGUUGAACUUGAGUGCAGAAGAGGAGAGGGGAAUUCCAUGUGUAGCGGUGGAAUGCGUAGAUAUAUGGAAGAACACCAGUGGCGAAGGCGGCUCUCUGGUUUGCAACUGACGCUGAGGCACGAAGGCCAGGGGAGCGAAAGGGAUUAGAUACCCGUGUAGUC
This 465-nucleotide ribosomal RNA is filed under the name uncultured bacterium. Its description in RNAcentral is "partial 16S ribosomal RNA". It matches the Rfam family "Bacterial small subunit ribosomal RNA", at positions 338 to 795 of the family's 1533-position model. The record is from RNAcentral.